Molecule: unclassified non-coding RNA, 247 nt
Filed under: Hevea brasiliensis (rubber tree)
Lineage: Eukaryota; Viridiplantae; Streptophyta; Magnoliopsida; Malpighiales; Euphorbiaceae
Source: RNAcentral
GCAGAAGUCUGUGCCCUUUGGAUCGGCUGUUGUUGAUUUGUAUGCAGGGUCUGGUGUCAUCGGAUUAUCUGUAGCUGCCACCCGAAAAUGCAGGUCUGUCAAAUGUGUUGAGAUCAAUAAAGAAUCAAAACUUUCUUUUGAAAAGUCAAUAAGUCGUUUACCGAAAACUAUAGAUAGCAGCAUCAGUUGGCACAAUACUGAUGCAUCAAUAGAACCCCUUCACUGGUUUGAGGGAUCAGAUGUCAUU